GAAAAACCACACAAGGGUUAAGCAUUCCAGAUGAUUUUCAAAGGCUGUGUCCUAACCAACUCUACUUACUUAUUUGGAGUUCAAUGGAAACAUUGAAGUUCCCGGCACGUGGGAUGAUGCCAGAUGCUGGAAUAGCAGCAAUGCCACGUACAGGCAGGGAUGACUGGGGCCUUCAGCGGGUAAGAUGUGGGUGCCAACUUUGGGAACAUGUGGUCCUUGAAAAACGCCUCAUCUCCAGCAAUAUGAGUCUGCCAGAGGUCAUCACGCUAGAUGGGGAUGGUGAUGGAGGCUUUGGUGGUCCACACAAUGAAGAAGCAUCAAUGAAAUGUCUGUAUCUCAGUAAAAUCUUUGAAACUGUUGCAUAUACAUUUUUGCUCAGUAUAUCUUUACAAUAAAAAAAUAAGGUGACCACUGAAAACCAGAUGGAGAUGUGUUAAUUAGAAGCGCACUCGGUCCUUAUAUUACCGUAGCAUAGGCUAUGCUGGAGUGAAUGUCGGCCUACCUGUCACAAGGAAAAAAGUUACCAUUAUGAGAUGAUAGGUCUACAUGCAUUGUGAACUGCGCUCCAUGCUGAGAUGGGCUGUAUGUACACACCCUGAGUAUUGAUGAUUGGUCAGGCAGAGAGAAGGCCAUAGACAAGCCAG
This is a long non-coding RNA of Oncorhynchus kisutch (coho salmon), 644 nucleotides long. RefSeq lists it as uncharacterized. NCBI's taxonomy places the organism in Eukaryota, Metazoa, Chordata, Actinopteri, Salmoniformes, Salmonidae. The transcript has 3 exons. The record is from RefSeq and is a predicted model, not a curated record.